This 241-nucleotide ribosomal RNA is filed under the name uncultured Staphylococcus sp. RNAcentral's name for it is "partial 16S ribosomal RNA". It matches the Rfam family "Bacterial small subunit ribosomal RNA", at positions 99 to 334 of the family's 1533-position model. Lineage: Bacteria; Bacillati; Bacillota; Bacilli; Caryophanales; Staphylococcaceae. The record is from RNAcentral.
CGGACGGGUGAGUAACACGUGGAUAACCUACCUAUAAGACUGGGAUAACUUCGGGAAACCGGAGCUAAUACCGGAUAAUAUAUUGAACCGCAUGGUUCAAUAGUGAAAGACGGUUUUGCUGUCACUUAUAGAUGGAUCCGCGCCGCAUUAGCUAGUUGGUAAGGUAACGGCUUACCAAGGCAACGAUGCGUAGCCGACCUGAGAGGGUGAUCGGCCACACUGGAGCUGAGACACGGUCCAG